Molecule: ribosomal RNA, 759 nt
Filed under: uncultured bacterium
Lineage: Bacteria
Description: bacterial SSU rRNA
Rfam family: Bacterial small subunit ribosomal RNA
Source: RNAcentral
CAUGCAAGUCGAGGGGCAGCAUGGUCUUAGCCUGCUAAGGCCGAUGGCGACCGGCGCACGGGUGAGUAACACGUAUCCAACCUGCCGUCUACUCUUGGACAGCCUUCUGAAAGGAAGAUUAAUACAAGAUGGCAUCAUGAGUCCGCAUGUUCACAUGAUUAAAGGUAUUCCGGUAGACGAUGGGGAUGCGUUCUAUUAGAUAGUAGGCGGGGUAACGGCCCACCUAGUCUUCGAUGGAUAGGGGUUCUGAGAGGAAGGUCCCCCACAUUGGAACUGAGACACGGUCCAAACUCCUACGGGAGGCAGCAGUGAGGAAUAUUGGUCAAUGGGCGAGAGCCUGAACCAGCCAAGUAGCGUGAAGGAUGACUGCCCUAUGGGUUGUAAACUUCUUUUAUAAAGGAAUAAAGUCGGGUAUGCAUACCCGUUUGCAUGUACUUUAUGAAUAAGGAUCGGCUAACUCCGUGCCAGCAGCCGCGGUAAUACGGAGGAUCCGAGCGUUAUCCGGAUUUAUUGGGUUUAAAGGGAGCGUAGAUGGAUGUUUAAGUCAGUUGUGAAAGUUUGCGGCUCAACCGUAAAAUUGCAGUUGAUACUGGAUAUCUUGAGUGCAGUUGAGGCAGGCGGAAUUCGUGGUGUAGCGGUGAAAUGCUUAGAUAUCACGAAGAACUCCGAUUGCGAAGGCAGCCUGCUAAGCUGCAACUGACAUUGAGGCUCGAAAGUGUGGGUAUCAAACAGGAUUAGAUACCCUGGUAGUCCACACGG